GAUGAACGCUGGCGGCGUGCUUAACACAUGCAAGUCGAACGAAGCACUUUAUUUGAUUUCUUCGGAAUGAAGAUUUUGCGACUGAGUGGCGGACGGGUGAGUAACGCGUGGGUAACCUGCCUCAUACAGGGGGAUAACAGUUGGAAACGACUGCUAAUACCGCAUAAGCGCACAGGGUCGCAUGACCUGGUGUGAAAAACUCCGGUGGUAUGAGAUGGACCCGCGUCUGAUUAGCCAGUUGGUGGGGUAACGGCCUACCAAAGCGACGAUCAGUAGCCGACCUGAGAGGGUGACCGGCCACAUUGGGACUGAGACACGGCCCAAACUCCUACGGGAGGCAGCAGUGGGGAAUAUUGCACAAUGGGGGAAACCCUGAUGCAGCGACGCCGCGUGAGCGAAGAAGUAUUUCGGUAUGUAAAGCUCUAUCAGCAGGGAAGAAGAAAUGACGG
RNAcentral lists this ribosomal RNA (449 nucleotides) under uncultured bacterium. Its description in RNAcentral is "bacterial SSU rRNA". It matches the Rfam family "Bacterial small subunit ribosomal RNA", at positions 28 to 475 of the family's 1533-position model. The record is from RNAcentral.